Molecule: non-coding RNA, 320 nt
Organism: Zootermopsis nevadensis
Lineage: Eukaryota; Metazoa; Arthropoda; Insecta; Blattodea; Termopsidae
Source: RefSeq, a predicted model, not a curated record
GUUUGUAUACAUCCAUUGUUUGUUGUCAUGCAGUGUUUGUUUACAUCCAGUGUUUGUUGUCAUACUGUGUUUGUAUACAUCCAGUGUUUGUUGUCAUACAGUGUUUGUAUACAUCCAUUUGUUUGUUGUCAUACUGUGUUUGUUUACAUCCAGUGUUUGUUGUCAUACACUGAAUACCAAAGGGACCCAGAAAGAAACACUUGAAGAUAUGACUGCGUACGGUUUAUUGACGGUGAAUCCACAGACGUCUUGAUGUUUCAUACGGAACUCAAGAUGUUCUUCAGUUGUGUACCAACCCAUGAAUAUUGGAACGAAUGAAA